Doryrhamphus excisus (bluestripe pipefish) is the source of this 6487-nucleotide non-coding RNA. The record is from RefSeq and is a predicted model, not a curated record. Lineage: Eukaryota; Metazoa; Chordata; Actinopteri; Syngnathiformes; Syngnathidae.
CAACAUAACACUCACUAACAAGACACCCGAGAAGCAGACGUGACGUCACAGAAUGGCGAUACAAUAAUGAUUUAGGUUGUGUUAGUUUUUCCAAGUCUUUUCGUGAGGCCUAUUUUUUAGUGAGCCCAAAAUUAACAAGAUGGAGACAGUCAGCAGACGAACUUUGGACAGGAUUUACUCGGCGGUGUUCUUGGCUGUUGUGGUCCUGUCGUGGUCGUACGUCAUCUACGCAAGCAGGGUGGCAGCUCAUUGGCUGCUGGAGGAGAGGACGACCCUUCGACGUCAUGACUGACAGCCAACUACUCAAUCACAGCUUGGAUUUAGGACAGUACUACACUGCCGAAGACAAACUGGACGGGAAUUUGACUGAUGGCGUCCUGGUUUGUGAGAAUUUCAAACCCAGCGCCGUCAGUCACAGUGAUGUUUUUGCGGGAAAAGUCCUCCAUCAGCAGCUGGAUGGCGUAUGCACCCUCGACUUGGUUGCUGUUGCUGGCACUGAAGGUCAUCUGACAGGACUGCACAGGGACAGAAUGAGGUCUAAACGGCAUGUGGACCGGCACGGGGGAUUGUCUUUGGGGGUGUCACACACCGGCGAGAGGCUGAGAACAGACGUGGCGAUUUCAUAUCUGCACCUCACUUGGUCUCCAUUCGGGUCAAAAGUCAACAGCGUCAGGUUCCUCGGACAGUUGGAGGGGACUCUUGGAGACACAUGUAGAUACCCGUUGACGUGGAAACUAGUUUCCAUGGUGACCACAACCUAGAGAGGUCUUACCGGAGAACGGGCAGUAUGGUGGUCACAGGGGAAGCAUUGGUUCUGUUGAUGUCGGACCUCUUUCUCAGGUCAACAUGGGUCACGGCCAGCACGUCUCUGACGCCAUUGAUGACGUUGAUCCACUGGUGUCCCGUCAGCCUUUAGUCACAGCAUGAUUGGUCACUGUUCAAUAGGAUGGGGUCACAGGUCGUAUCAGCACCCACCUGAGCUCAAAUCUUUUGGAGGAAGUGGUGUUCACCAGCACGACCACCUCAUUCUGACACCACGUUCCAUUCCCCUCAUGCACUGUGGCCGCUGACGCCACCGUCAGCAAGCAGUUGGCAACGGGACAGUCGAGAACGCUGACGUUGUUGCACACAUUGAAGGCCACAUUAUAGCGAAGAACCAACUGUGGAGACAAGGAGCAUCACGGAAUGCAGUAUUCAUUUGGAAACCGUGACGCCGUCCUGCCUGAACCAACUUCCUCCUAUUUGGAAUCUUUUGGCCAAUAGCGGUGAGUUACCCGACAUGAAGAAUACUCAGAAAGCGACCAAGAAGAAUCACAGUGAUGAAAUAAAAACCUCAGGUUUUUCCGUAGACUGCAGCCUCAUCGAGUGUAUGUACAUACCGUGUCAUUGGAGGUUCUGCUCGGGUAGAAGGUCGUCACCGUGCUCAAAAAGUUGGGCACCUGACAGCUGCAGGCCGGAAGCAACAAGAUGAGCAGGUGGACCCACAUGACACGUGGAAACUUAUUCACUAAUCUGAGAAUCUGUAAUCGCGGAUCUGAGAACCGCAAUCGGAGAUCUUAGAACAACAAGCAGUUUUUUACGUGCCUCUGGUCCGACACGCUGGUUGUCUUCUGCAAGCUCAACGCUUCCUGGAAUUUAACUGUGCAAUCAUACAGGGAGUGGCCUGGCAUGACCACAUUGUGAUCUUGCAAUUAACCUCCUUCUGUGUGUGUGUCUGUGUGUAGGUGUGUGUGUGUGUGUGUGUGAUUGUGUGCCAAGCCACAGGUUCAGACAUUAAUGAAACAACACUGAUUAUUUUUUAUUUUCCUUAUUCCAACUGCAGUAACAUACAUCCUCACGGGUACACAGAAGUCCAAAUGGAGACCAACGUAGACUUAAACACAUCAACACACUGGAACACACUAAAAAUCAUAUUACCUCGUACUUCGAUAUGUGACAAAAAAAAACAAACAAUAUUAGGAAAGCAGGAAGUGAACAAAUGUAACAGUUAGUGAUUGUAAAAGUACCAGAUGAAGGGGUAGGAUUUAAUAAGCUUUGCUUCUUCCUACUCCUUUUGGACAUGUGGAACUGGGAACUGAUUAUGGGAUGCACUCAAUUGGAAUCUGAUGCAUGUUCAAAUGAAAUAAAAUCAUAACCAUUACCAAAAAUAAAAAUCAGUUUCAGCCAUUAACAAUAUAAAUCAGUCACAUUUUAUAAAAAGGAAAAUCAAAUCUUUUGGAUGACUUGUCAAUAUUAGACUAAAUGUAUUUUUCCCAAAUGGUGCUGGUUCCUUCCCAAUACAACACAUGUCACGUUCCAGCUUGAGAACUUUACGGUUCGACCCCAUGAUGCAGAGAUGACGCCCCACUUGCAGGUAAAAAUGUAUUUAUUGGAUGCUAUGCAGCAGAACGACGCACUAGCAUGACCAACUCAAACACGGCAAUGACCCGACAAAGAAGGGAGCAACGCACCUGAACUAAAUAGGCAACACAAUAGGAAACAGGUGCAGGAGAUCAUUGAACGCAACUGAAAACGGAACAGAGCCACACAGGAAGUAAAUACAAAAUAAGGGCAACUAGGAACUCAGGAAAAAAGGAAAACUAAGAGCUGUCACGAGGGGGUGAAGCCCAAUGGUGACAACACAAUCAGUAACGAUCGAGACCUUCUCGCCAAUCGGAAGCCUGAAGAAAGUCAUUAUGGGGGACAUUAUGUGUCGCUGUGGUCUACUUUGCUGAAGUUGACCAUUCUCAGUGUGAUGUCAGACGGCAGCCCUCGCUCCAUCAGCUCGUUCUUCAGCUGCAACAAGACAAAAGUGGCGGUCAAAUUGUGUCCUGAAUUACGCCUACCUGACAUGUGUUCCAAGAUGGUGGACCUGCGGUAAGCCGACUUCUUGAAUUUCUUCUCGAAACAGCGGCACCGAGGAGGAGAUCUUGGCAGUCAUGGCAACCACAACUAAAAGACAAGAAGUUUAAAAAAGACAACCGGCAUGCUAAGAUGUAUUUAUGAGAAGCUGUGAUGUCAUACUGUUAUUUGCUGGCGGUUCAGGACCUGUAAGAGACAAGUGAGACAGCGUGACAAGAUGUUUGUUGGGCAUUAUAAACAUCUGUAGACCACAGACAGGAACACGCUCCACUCACUGUGCUUGACCACCACAACUAUACAACGCAGUUCAGACUGGAGUUUACUUUUGAGGACGAUGGCUUGAACAACAAAACAGACUGGAUGACUUUGUCCCAAGUCACGGUCAGACGGCUUCCAGAUCAGCAGAAAGCUUCCGUUCUCCAGUGUCUCCUUCGUCAUGGUGGACGGCCCGCUGAACAGAAGCUCCGAGACACUGGUCAACCGAGAGACGUCUGUCAAUCAGGCGGCAAUACUGGUUGUUUGUUUCAGCUUUUUCCUGAUUACGAUGUCACAACAGCAGAUCUUUUUGAUCCGCAUACUCAUUUUUGGCUUGGGCUCUUUAAAUUCCGGAUGCCCAUCAGGGCGGCAAUACUUUAUAAUUAAUAUUAAUACACAUCAGACAUUUGGUUGCAAAUUCUAGCGCUGUUUUCUGAAUAUUUUUUUUUGUGUUUAUUGGCUUAUGAAUUCUACCGAACAACAAAUGGCUACAAGGGGAAAGAAUCAAAACUGAUGUCUAAGUUGUUGCAUCUGUUGUCACGUUCAUAAUAAAUCUGUACUACUACACUAGGAAUGUUUUAAAUAAUACAAAAUAUUUGUUUGAAAGAAAAACAUACUUGGACAUUGCCGACUUUGCAUGGAUGGGAAUAGCCAGGGUUGUGUUGACCAGAACGUAGAAAUGCUGUCCGUUGGCAACUGUAGGUAACAGGAAGCUGGGCAGAAACACUCCCUCUUCACAGGACUCCACUGGAGGGUCCACUGUACGUCCACACACAGAAUAACACUCAAGUUUUUGUGCAGGUGAGCCGACACUCAAAAUGAAGCACUCGUUCUCACCCUUUAGAACAAACUGGACGGGAAUUUGACUGAUGGCGUCCUUGCUUGUGAGAACCUCCGUUUUUUUGUCUCCAGUCACAGUGAUGUUCCGGAGAGGAAAGUCUUCCAUCAGCAACUGGAUGGUGUAAACGCCCUCCACUUCCUCGCUGGUUCCGGUGGGACUGAAGGUCAUGAGACAAGACUGCACAGGAACAAUGAAGGAGCUUGAUGGUCUGCUAUGGAGAUAGUUUUUUGGGGAAUGGGUCCCUCACCGGGAACAGACUGAGAACAAAUGGGAUGUUUUCAUAUCUGCACUUCACUGUGUCUCCGUCGGGGUCAAAAGUCAACAGCGUCAGGUUCCUCCGGCAGUUGGAGGGGACUCUUGGAGACACAUGUAGACGGCCGUUGACGUGGCAACUGUGUUUCCAUGGUGACCACACUCCUGAGAGGUCUUACCUGAGAACGGGCAGCACGGUGGUCACGGGCGAAGCGUUGGCCUGGCCUGUGUCCGACCUGCGUCUCAGGUUGACGCGAGUCACAGCCUGUAUCACUGGGACUUUGUUGGUGACGUUGAUCAGCCUUUAACCGCAGCGUGAUUGGUCACUGCGUGUACGAUGUAUGGCAUCACAUAGUACCGUAUCGUAUCAUCACUCACCGUAACGAAAAAUGUUGAGUUGAGUUGUUGUGAAGAGACGAGACCACCUCAGUCUGACACCAUUCUCCGCUGCUCUCCGUGUCCACCUUGGUCAGAGUCGCACCUUCCUCCAUGCAGUCAUCGAUGUCACAUGUCCACCUGAUGUCACUUUGGCACGUUUGGUAGCCCACUUUGUAGCGAAGGACAACCUGUGGAGUUCAAAAUAUUGAUUAUUCAUUGGGGAUUAAGGGGGCUGCCGGUUGCCAUGGUAACUGUGCAACCUGGACAUACCGUGUUAUUCCUGGUAUUGCUGGGGUAGAAGGUCGUCACCGUGCCCAACAGGUUGGAUGCCUGACAACUGCAGGCCAACAGCAAGAAGACUAGCAAGUGGACGCACACGACGCAUGAAGUUACCACCAUCUUGAAGAUAAUGUGUCUGCGUGCGUCUAGUCCGACCUGCAAACACAGCACUUCUUCAAAUGGAACAAUGACCAUGGGCGUGGCCUGGCAGGACCGUGUGCGUGUUUCUCAGGCGUAGAUGUGGGCGAGACACCACAGAUGAUAUCUGUGUGGAGUUUGCAUGUUCUGCCCGUGCGUGGGUUUUCUCCGGGUACUUUCUCCCACAUUCCAAAAACAGGAGGCCAAUGGUUGGCUACCACUUCAGGGUGGCCCAAGUCACCUGGGAUAGGCUCCAGCAUACCCUAGUGAGGACAAGGAGCAUAGAAAAUGAAUUAGUUUUUGAAAUGGAGCCAUGUUGGCACAGUCAUGUCAAAUGCAUUAUUUCAUGAUGUGAGCAUUUAAUUUAUCAUUUUCAUUUUUCUUGUUGCAUAAAGACGUCUUAGUUCUUCUUACUUUAGAGGGUUUUCACGAUGUUUGUGAUAAAUGGCACAAAACCACAGCACAGUUCAAUCACAUUGAGAAAUGAAUGGUAUGAAAUCUGACAUGAUGAUCAGAUAGGAGACGGGUUCCAUUCUCAAGCAAACCACACGCUGAUUGAAAAGUAAUACUGAUAUGACUUAAAUCUAUGGAGAAUACGAGAAGUUAUGUCUUUUUAAUCACAUUUUAAACAAAUACAAUACACUUUUUUCCCCGUAUCUUGUAAGAAUUAUACAGUAGUUCAGAAAUAAAUUCAAAGUACGUAAAAAUAGUGAGUUACUUUUUAAUCACCCUCCUGUUAGAGCGGACAAUGUGUGAACCACGUCACUCACAUGUCACAUAAAAUGUUUAGAAUGUUUGGAAAAAGUCUACUGGAUGCAGUAGCGGACGGACCAGUUAUUUUUAAUCACGCGGAAGUAGUUGAUUUAAUUAUUGAGAAUACACCGUCAACUUCCUUCUUGAUCAUAGGAAUUGUUCAUUCAUUCAUUCAUUUUCUACCGCUUUUUCCGCGGGGGUGCUGGAGCCUAUCCCAGCUGUCUUCGGGCGAGAGGCGGGGUACACCCUGGACUGGUGGCCAGCCAAUCCCAGGGCACAUAUAGACAAACAACCAUUCACACUCACAUUCAUACCUAUGGACAAUUUGGAGUGGCUAAUUAACCUAGCAUGUUUUUGGAAUGUGGGAGGAAACCGGAGUACCCGGAGAAAACCCACGCAUGCACGGGGAGAACAUGCAAACUCCACACAGAGAUGGAAUCGAACCCUUGUCCUCCUAGCUGUGAGGUCUGUGCGCUAACCACUUGACCGCUGUGCCGCCCCAUAAGAAUUGUAUAAUAAUCAUAAUAUUAGAAGCUUUAUAACCUUUGAAUGAGGAUAAGAUUACUUUAGAAUGAAUAAAUGCAGAAUAUUUUCAUAAUGUGUGACUUCCCUGAAACACGACCAAGUUAAAAUUUCGAUUGUUUUCCUAAUUGGGACAAUGAAGCUGCUUUGUAGAAGGGCUGAAAAUAACGUUAACCAGUUUUCUGCAUGUUAUUAAUUACUUUGGUAGACGCCAACAAAAGUAUUCCU